RNAcentral lists this ribosomal RNA (519 nucleotides) under Clostridioides difficile. RNAcentral's name for it is "bacterial SSU rRNA". It matches the Rfam family "Bacterial small subunit ribosomal RNA", at positions 197 to 737 of the family's 1533-position model. Lineage: Bacteria; Bacillati; Bacillota; Clostridia; Peptostreptococcales; Peptostreptococcaceae. The record is from RNAcentral.
AAUAUCAAAGGUGAGCCAGUACAGGAUGGACCCGCGUCUGAUUAGUUAGUUGGUAAGGUAACGGCUUACCAAGGCGACGAUCAGUAGCCGACCUGAGAGGGUGAUCGGCCACAUUGGAACUGAGACACGGUCCAAACUCCUACGGGAGGCAGCCGUGGGGAAUAUUGCACAAUGGGCGAAAGCCUGAUGCAGCAACGCCGCGUGAGUGAUGAAGGCCUUCGGGUCGGAAAACUCUGUCCUCAAGGAAGAUAAUGACGGUACUUGAGGAGGAAGCCCCGGCUAACUACGUGCCAGCAGCCGCGGUAAUACGUAGGGGGCUAGCGUUAUCCGGAUUUACUGGGCGUAAAGGGUGCGUAGGCGGUCUUUCAAGUCAGGAGUGAAAGGCUACGGCUCAACCGUAGUAAGCUCUUGAAACUGGGAGACUUGAGUGCAGGAGAGGAGAGUGGAAUUCCUAGUGUAGCGGUGAAAUGCGUAGAUAUUAGGAGGAACACCAGUUGCGAAGGCGGCUCUCUGGACUGU